Molecule: non-coding RNA, 945 nt
Organism: Phoenix dactylifera (date palm)
Lineage: Eukaryota; Viridiplantae; Streptophyta; Magnoliopsida; Arecales; Arecaceae
Source: RefSeq, a predicted model, not a curated record
CGUAGAUGCCCCGGGACUUCAUGCCAACCAACCGGUUCUCCACCAUGUCCACACGUCCGAUCCCAUGCUUACCGCCGAUCUCGUUGAGCUCAGAGAGCAGGGUUGCAGGGGAGAGCUCUUGUCCAUUGAGGGAAACAGGCGACCGGUGCUUGCAUAUAUAAGUUUUUUGCCCCCAAGAUAUCAGAAGUACGAGAAAUUAGCCAUUCUCGGCUCAAGGAAGAGGAAAGGGAGAAAGAUUCAAAAUAGCAGGGAAGAGACACUGGUUUAGGAGGAAAUUGCUUUCAUAAGAUCAACCACAGCACAACCGCACAACAGCAUCAGGAACAGGAACAUUGUGUUUCUUCGCAUACUCGAUAGCAUCUUCUCGACCUGUGAUCUCCCAUUCCCUCCAUGGUGCCACAACUUUGAGUCCAGGAUUUAAAGCGAAGAAGUGCUUUGAAAUGUCUUCUUGGGUCCAACCUCAAACAAAAUAAAGAAGAUGGAGAUUUCCAUGUCUUUUCUCCAAUAACAAGCAGCAAAAAAGGUUGAGGUGACACAGGGGUCUUUACUCUUUGGAACCUAAAACGAUGCUUCCUGCAGUGCUGUACCUGAUUCUACUGGCAAUUUAUAGAUGCAUCCUUCCACAACAUUAUAUCUUCUACUUCAGGGUCAAACUAUGAGUCAGUAUCAAACCGUAUCUUGUAACAGAUACCACGCUAGCAACUUAAUAAGCAUAGUACAAGGGAGCUCUCGAUCCUUUGUAUAGUCCAUGUCCACCAGUAUGACUAUUUAUAGACCAGCUUCAAUGUGUGCGACAUAGAUAAGUAAUUAAUAAGCAACAGUACUAUGCUACUUUCCCUUUCUAUACUUGUGCCAGGGAUGGGCAGAAGCUCUUCUACUCUCUUGCCCACCCUUUUCUACAUUUCUAAGAAUCUAAAAGGCUUGCUUAAGCUUCAUUUGGCAUCA